CCUGAACGAAGCUUGCCACCUCUACGUGGUGUUCAGGAGAAACAGUUGUAAGUUAAUAACUGGCCAAGAGCAAGC
Molecule: non-coding RNA, 75 nt
Organism: Rhizophagus irregularis DAOM 197198w
Lineage: Eukaryota; Fungi; Glomeromycota; Glomeromycetes; Glomerales; Glomeraceae
Rfam family: HDV ribozyme from F. prausnitzii
Source: Rfam